RNAcentral lists this ribosomal RNA (480 nucleotides) under uncultured bacterium. RNAcentral's name for it is "bacterial SSU rRNA". It matches the Rfam family "Bacterial small subunit ribosomal RNA", at positions 30 to 506 of the family's 1533-position model. The record is from RNAcentral.
GUGAACGUUGGCGGCGUGGAUUAGGCAUGCAAGUCGAGGGAAGCAUGCGGCGUAGCAAUACGUUGCAUGACUGACCGGCGUAAGGGGCAGUAAUGCGUGGGUAACGUACCCCCGGGUUCCGGAUAGCCAGUCGAAAGGCUGGGUAAUACGGAGCGACGUCGCGAGGAGACAUCUCCAUGCGACCAAAGAUUUAUCGCCCGGGGAGCGGCUCACGUGCUAUUAGCUAGUUGGUAGGGUGACGGCCUACCAAGGCUAAGAUGGCUAGCGGGUGUGAGAGCACGACCCGCGCCACUGGCACUGAGACACUGGCCAGACACCUACGGGUGGCUGCAGUCGAGGAUCUUCGGCAAUGAGCGCAAGCUUGACCGAGCGACGCCGCGUGUGGGAUGAAGGCCUUCGGGUUGUAAACCACUGUCGUGGGGGAGAAAAGCCCCGCAAGGGGUCUGAUCUAUCCCAGGAGGAAGCACGGGCUAAGUUCGU